Molecule: ribosomal RNA, 443 nt
Filed under: uncultured bacterium
Lineage: Bacteria
Description: partial 16S ribosomal RNA
Rfam family: Bacterial small subunit ribosomal RNA
Source: RNAcentral
CCUACGGGAGACAGCAGUGGGGAAUAUUGGGCAAUGGGCGCAAGCCUGACCCAGCAACGCCGCGUGAAGGAAGAAGGCUUUCGGGUUGUAAACUUCUUUUCUCAGGGACGAAGCAAGUGACGGUACCUGAGGAAUAAGCCACGGCUAACUACGUGCCAGCAGCCGCGGUAAUACGUAGGUGGCAAGCGUUAUCCGGAUUUACUGGGUGUAAAGGGCGUGUAGGCGGGAAAGCAAGUCAGAUGUGAAAACCAUGGGCUCAACCUGUGGCCUGCAUUUGAAACUGUUUUUCUUGAGUACUGGAGAGGCAGACGGAAUUCCUAGUGUAGCGGUGAAAUGCGUAGAGAUUAGGAGGAACACCAGUGGCGAAGGCGGUCUGCUGGACAGCAACUGACGCUGAGGCGCGAAAGCGUGGGGAGCAAACAGGAUUAGAUACCCUGGUAGUC